GUAGACUGUGAGCCGGGUUUGGUGGUCGCCAGGAAGAUCCUAUCUACUCUGUGGAGAAUGGAUUGGAACAAAAAAAGACCAUGCAGGAAUCAACUGUAGAAGGCCAGGUAAGAGGGCUGGUGGCAGGUAAAGGGCAGAGUCAGGAAAUGGUAGUAUGUAGGGCUGGUCCAGGGAGGGAGGAAUUGAGUGACCCAGGUUUGUGAUAUGAAUGAUGAGUAGGUUGUGUCCCCAUGGUCGAGUGGGAGUCCCAGAGAAGGGAUGCACUGGGGAAGGAGGGAGUCACCAAGGUCAGAAGUUGAGUCCACUGAGUGUUGGGAGAAAGAUUUGGGGAUUGUGAGCAGUUAGAGGGCUACCAGAGACACUGCAUGAGGUGAGAUUACCUUGGCCUGCAACAUCCGAGGAGGAAUAUUAUCAUCUGAUACCAGGUUUGGUCAGCUACAAUCCGCUGCCUGGUUUUUUUUUGUUUUGUUUUGUUUUUUUAAAUAGCCCUGAACUAAGCAAGUCCUUUACCAGUGAGCUGUAGAUGUCGGGUAAGAGAUAUUUUGUAAGAAAGCACACUUUUGUACUCUGUAGGGGUGGCUGUUCUCACAUACACUGGCAACAGAGUUGAGUGACAGAAACAGAGACGGUGCAUGGUGUCAUACCACUCUCUGCACCUCACAUCAGUGAUGAGAUUAUCACUUGAUUCUGACAUUGACCCCUAGGGGGGAAAAAAAGUUGCAAAAUCCUUUGAUCUAAGGUCUAAGUUGAGACACACCUCUGGAGAGAUGGCUCAGUGGGUAACGGUGCUUGUCACGAAAGCCUGUUGCAUCCCCAGAGCCCACUUAAAGAGAGAAGAAUCAACUCCACAUGCACACUGUAACACGUGCUCGCCAACACCCACACAUGGUACACACAACAAUAAUUACAAAGGUUUGGGGUUUUUUGUUGUUGUUGUUUUGUUUUUUUUUCCAAGACAGGGUUUCUCUGUAGCUUUGGAGCCUAUCCUGGCACUCACUCUGGAGACCAGGCUGGCCUCAAACUCACAGAGAUCCGCCUGCCUCUGCCUCCCUGCAUGCUGGGAUUAAAGGCAUGCACCACCAACGCCUGGCUUAACAAAGGUUUUUUUGUUUUUUUGUUUUUUUGAUUUUUUUUAUUAGUUCAAAUUAGGAACAAGCUUGUUUCACAUAUCAAUCCCUUCUCCCCUUCUCCUUCUCCCUCCCUUCACUCCCUCCCUCCUCCCCCCCCCAUCCACCCUCCACUCCCCAGGCACAGUAGGGCCCUCAACUGAGGCUCCUCAAAG
This 1282-nucleotide long non-coding RNA is filed under the name Cricetulus griseus (Chinese hamster). Its description in RNAcentral is "lncRNA (ENSCGRG00015032373.1)". The record is from RNAcentral. Lineage: Eukaryota; Metazoa; Chordata; Mammalia; Rodentia; Cricetidae.